UUAAGCAUUCCACCUGGGGAGUACGAUCGCAAGAUUGAAACUCAAAGGAAUUGACGGGGGCCCGCACAAGCGGUGGAGCAUGUGGUUUAAUUGGAAGCAACGGGAAGAACCUUACCAAAUCUUGACAUCUUUCUGACCGUUCCGUAAUGGGAACUUUUCUUGGGAACAGAAGUGACAGGUGGUGCAUGGUUGUCGUCAGCUCGUGUCGUGAGAUGUUGGGUUAAGUCCCGCAACGAGCGCAACCCUUAUCUUUAGUAGCCAGCAAUUCGGUUGGGGACUCUAGAGAGACUGCCGGGGACAACUCGGAGGAAGGUGGGGAUGACGUCAAAUCAUCAUGCCCCUUAUGAUUUGGGCUACACACGUGCUACAAUGGCGGUGACAAAGGGAAGCAAAGUGGUGACAUGGAGCAAACCCCAAAAAAGCCGUCCCAGUUCGGAUUGUAGUCUGCAACUCGACUACAUGAAGUUGGAAUCGCUAGUAAUCGCGAAUCAGAAUGUCGCGGUGAAUACGUUCCCGGGCCUUGUACACACCGCCCGUCACACCAUGGGAGUUGGAAGCGCCCGAAGCC
Molecule: ribosomal RNA, 568 nt
Filed under: Vallitalea sp.
Lineage: Bacteria; Bacillati; Bacillota; Clostridia; Lachnospirales; Vallitaleaceae
Description: bacterial SSU rRNA
Rfam family: Bacterial small subunit ribosomal RNA
Source: RNAcentral